GGGUAUUGGAUCCUCAUCGGCAGGGUCGUUUGUAAACACACAUAAGCAGAUAAAUAAAUUCCUUUAUACUAAUGGACUACUAUAAUCAUUUUUAAUACAGUGUUGAAGAACAAAAUAUAAUUCUUAAUAAAAAGUAAUGCAUAAUAUUGCACAACUCGAAAAAGUAAACACGGACAUGGUUAAAUUUGCAUGAAAUCAAAAGUACUGGAUAUUUAUACACAAGGUCCAGAGUUCGUACUUGCCCAAGUCUGAAAUUUUUUGUCCGUGAUUCAUAUCGCGUGUAUGGUGAUUCAAUAAUUAUACAAAGCAUUAGCUUCACAAUAUUCGUGUAUUCAAAGGGUUUAUUAAUAAACAAAAUUUAAAUAACUAAGUAUACAAAUUAUAUUUGUAACAAAAAUAUAAAAUAUUUGUUUUUAUUGUUGAAUAGUUCAG
Molecule: unclassified non-coding RNA, 432 nt
Filed under: Bombus terrestris (buff-tailed bumblebee)
Lineage: Eukaryota; Metazoa; Arthropoda; Insecta; Hymenoptera; Apidae
Description: misc RNA ENSBTSG00005034534.1
Source: RNAcentral